Molecule: non-coding RNA, 30 nt
Filed under: Mus musculus (house mouse)
Lineage: Eukaryota; Metazoa; Chordata; Mammalia; Rodentia; Muridae
Source: RNAcentral
GCUUCUCAAGACUUUCCGAUUCUCAAGUCC